Molecule: small nucleolar RNA, 127 nt
Organism: Oryctolagus cuniculus (rabbit)
Lineage: Eukaryota; Metazoa; Chordata; Mammalia; Lagomorpha; Leporidae
Source: Ensembl
GGGCUGCCUUUGAGCCCCUGCUGCACCUACAUGGCACCGAGGGUCAGGGUGCAGCACACCAGAGCACAGCUCACCCAUACCUGGGGCGGGGGCAGAGCCGGUCUUCACUCACGUGACAGUUGAAGGG